RNAcentral lists this ribosomal RNA (439 nucleotides) under uncultured bacterium. RNAcentral describes it as "partial 16S ribosomal RNA". It matches the Rfam family "Bacterial small subunit ribosomal RNA", at positions 339 to 795 of the family's 1533-position model. The record is from RNAcentral.
CUACGGGUUGCACCAGUGAGGAAUAUUGCACAAUGGAGGAAACUCUGAUGCAGCAACGCCGCGUGGAGGAUGACGCAUUUCGGUGUGUAAACUCCUUUUAUGAGUCAAGAAAAUGACGGUAGCUCAUGAAUAAGCACCGGCUAACUCCGUGCCAGCAGCCGCGGUAAUACGGAGGGUGCAAGCGUUACUCGGAAUCACUGGGCGUAAAGGACGCGUAGGCGGGAUAUCAAGUCAGGUGUGAAAUCCUACAGCUUAACUGUAGAACUGCACUUGAAACUGGUAACCUAGAGUAUGGGAGGGGGAGAUGGAAUUAGUGGUGUAGGGGUAAAAUCCGUAGAUAUCACUAGGAAUACCUAAAGCGAAGGCGAUCUCCUGGAACAUAACUGACGUUAAGGCGUGAAAGCGCGGGGAGCAAACAGGAUUAGAUACCCGCGUAGUC